GACGAACGCUGGCGGCGUGCUUAACACAUGCAAGUCGAACGAGAAUUGAUCUUUAGUUUACUAGAGAUCAAGGAAAGUGGCGAAACGGGUGAGUAACGCGUAGGUAACCAACCUUACACAGGGGGAUAGCCCCGGGAAACUGGGAGUAAUACCGCAUAAGACCACAGCAUCGCAUGGUGCAGUGGUAAAAAACCACGGUGGUGUAAGACGGACCUGCGUCCCAUUAGUUAGUUGGUGAGGUAACGGCUCACCAAGACCGCGAUGGGUAGCCGACCUGAGAGGGUGAUCGGCCACAUUGGGACUGAGACACGGCCCCAGACUCCUACGGGAGGCAGCAGUGGGGAAUAUUGCGCAAAUGGAGGAAACUCUGACGCAGCAACGCCG
This 384-nucleotide ribosomal RNA is filed under the name uncultured bacterium. Its description in RNAcentral is "bacterial SSU rRNA". It matches the Rfam family "Bacterial small subunit ribosomal RNA", at positions 28 to 399 of the family's 1533-position model. The record is from RNAcentral.